This 610-nucleotide ribosomal RNA is filed under the name Marinobacter sp. RNAcentral's name for it is "bacterial SSU rRNA". It matches the Rfam family "Bacterial small subunit ribosomal RNA", at positions 45 to 645 of the family's 1533-position model. The record is from RNAcentral. Lineage: Bacteria; Pseudomonadati; Pseudomonadota; Gammaproteobacteria; Pseudomonadales; Marinobacteraceae.
CGCAGCUUACCAUGCAAGUCGAGCGGUAACAGGGGGUGCUUGCACCCCGCUGACGAGCGGCGGACGGGUGAGUAAUGCAUAGGAAUCUGCCCAGUAGUGGGGGAUAGCCCGGGGAAACCCGGAUUAAUACCGCAUACGCCCUUUGGGGGAAAGCAGGGGAUCUUCGGACCUUGCGCUAUUGGAUGAGCCUAUGUCGGAUUAGCUAGUUGGUGGGGUAAAGGCCUACCAAGGCGACGAUCCGUAGCUGGUCUGAGAGGAUGAUCAGCCACAUCGGGACUGAGACACGGCCCGAACUCCUACGGGAGGCAGCAGUGGGGAAUAUUGGACAAUGGGGGCAACCCUGAUCCAGCCAUGCCGCGUGUGUGAAGAAGGCUUUCGGGUUGUAAAGCACUUUCAGUGAGGAGGAAAACCUUCUGGUUAAUACCCAUGAGGCUUGACGUUACUCACAGAAGAAGCACCGGCUAACUCCGUGCCAGCAGCCGCGGUAAUACGGAGGGUGCAAGCGUUAAUCGGAAUUACUGGGCGUAAAGCGCGCGUAGGUGGUUUGAUAAGCGAGAUGUGAAAGCCCCGGGCUUAACCUGGGAACGGCAUUUCGAACUGUCAGGCUAGA